Molecule: ribosomal RNA, 144 nt
Filed under: Rhodospirillales bacterium
Lineage: Bacteria; Pseudomonadati; Pseudomonadota; Alphaproteobacteria; Rhodospirillales
Description: partial 16S ribosomal RNA
Rfam family: Bacterial small subunit ribosomal RNA
Source: RNAcentral
GAACCUGAGAGUUUGAUCCUGGCUCAGAGCGAACGCUGGCGGCAUGCUUAACACAUGCAAGUCGCACGGGCAGCUUCGGCUGUCAGUGGCGGACGGGUGAGUAACGCGUAGGUAUCUAUCCUUGGGUGGGGGACAACCGUGGGA